GCUCAACAGUUGCAUGAGGCAAGAACCACAGUUGAAAGCUGAACAAGGACUUCUGGGAAAUUCUCCUGAGGAGGGGGUCUUGAGGGUGAAGACACAGAAGGGAGUGGAAGGAGGAGCUGUUUCUCUGGGCCAUUUCAAGAAACCUGUGGAGAUUUCUGACACUGACAGAAAUCUUAACAUUGUGGGUUCCUGUUUAAAACAUUGUUAGUUCCUGUCAACAAAACUUCAUUUCUCUGAUGACUUUCAUUCCAUAAACUAUUGAGAUACUGGACUCAAAUCGGGUGCCUAAGUCAAAGGCCACCUGCUGAGUACUGAAGAGGAAGAAACCAUUCUCGUCUUCACCCUGGGGUCUCCUGAGGGGAUACUAGAAGUAUUGGGGAUAGAGGUGAGGAGGAAGGAUUUUCAAAGAAGUAACUGGAAAUCUGUGCCAGACAUACUCAGUGAUUACGUGGAUCAGAGGAAUUUGGAGUCUUUAAUCCCAACACUGGAGAAACUAGAGAUCAGGAAAGUUACUACUGGGCUCCAAGCCGGGCUCCUCCUGGCUACAUUAUUUUGUGUCAAGGCCAAGAGCAAGAGAGCAACUGGUCUUUCAGGCAGAUGAUCAAUUAACCAGCAUUCUGCGGGCACCUCCCUCAGCCAAGAUCCCCUCCAGAGGGCCUUUGGUGCUUGAUUAAACUCAUCGCCAAAAGGAAAAGAAAAAAGGCACGUUACAGAGCAACAAAUUGGUCUGUCAAGGAUCCAUGUGAGGUCAUCGAAGAUUAUCCACUUUCAUGGAAUUAUGAGAACAUUGGAAAAGAAAUUCUACCAGUUGUAAAUUCUAUAAUCAAUACAAACACCAGGCUUCAGAUUCAAAGAAGUAUACUCCUCAGGAAGAAAGUAACUUCCCAGCAAGGGUACAGUAUGCCAGGGAAAGAAACAUCUCAGCUGUUAAACAUUUUUUCUCUUUUCGUGAUUAACCUAUAGGAGUGAUGGCAAACCUUUUAAAAGGGCAAGUGAUGUCCUCAGACACACCUGGAGAGAGGAGCUGAAAUGGAAACUAUCAACCUGCCUAUUCAUGCAGUUACAUCAACAAAAUCAACAAGAACUACUUAUGGCCUUUGAUCAUAGUAUCUUUUUCUUCCCCAGUUCCCCAAAAGCAACACAACAUAGACUGGUAAAAAACUAGUGAUUAAACUGGUUUUGAAUUUCCAUAAAUAAAAUAAUGCAUAUAAAUUAGGAAUAAA
Non-coding RNA from Monodelphis domestica (gray short-tailed opossum), 1223 nucleotides. NCBI's taxonomy places the organism in Eukaryota, Metazoa, Chordata, Mammalia, Didelphimorphia, Didelphidae. The record is from RefSeq and is a predicted model, not a curated record.